Molecule: ribosomal RNA, 443 nt
Filed under: uncultured bacterium
Lineage: Bacteria
Description: partial 16S ribosomal RNA
Rfam family: Bacterial small subunit ribosomal RNA
Source: RNAcentral
CCUACGGGCGGCAGCAGUGGGGAAUAUUGGGCAAUGGGCGCAAGCCUGACCCAGCAACGCCGCGUGAAGGAAGAAGGCUCUCGGGUUGUAAACUUCUUUUAUCAGGGACGAAGCAAGUGACGGUACCUGAUGAAUAAGCCACGGCUAACUACGUGCCAGCAGCCGCGGUAAUACGUAGGUGGCAAGCGUUAUCCGGAUUUACUGGGGGUAAAGGGCGUGUAGGCGGGAAAGCAAGUCAGAUGUGAAAACCAUGGGCUCAACCUGUGGCCUGAAUUUGAAACUGUUUUUCUUGAGUACUGGAGAGGCAGACGGAAUUCCGAGUGGAGCGGUGAAGCGGGUAGAUAUUAGGAGGCACAGCAGUGGCGAAGGCGGUCUGCUGGACAGCAACUGACGCUGAGGCGCGAACGCGUGGGGAGCAAACAGGAUUAGAUACCCGAGUAGUC